This 253-nucleotide ribosomal RNA is filed under the name uncultured bacterium. Its description in RNAcentral is "partial 16S ribosomal RNA". It matches the Rfam family "Bacterial small subunit ribosomal RNA", at positions 524 to 776 of the family's 1533-position model. The record is from RNAcentral.
UACGAAGGGGUCUAGCGUUGUUCGGAAUCACUGGGCGUAAAGGGCGCGUAGGCGGCUUUAUAAGUCGGGGGUGAAAGCCUGUGGCUCAACCACAGAAUUGCCUUCGAUACUGUAGAGCUUGAGACCGGAAGAGGUUAGUGGAACUGCGAGUGUAGAGGUGAAAUUCGUAGAUAUUCGCAAGAACACCAGUGGCGAAGGCGGCUGACUGGUCCGGUACUGACGCUGAGGUGCGAAAGCGUGGGGAGCAAACAGG